CGUGNAGGAAGAAGGCCUUCGGGUUGUAAACUGCUUUUGUACGGAACGAAACGGUCUGGAUUAAUACUCUGGGCUAAUGACGGUACCGUAAGAAUAAGCACCGGCUAACUACGUGCCAGCAGCCGCGGUAAUACGUAGGGUGCAAGCGUUAAUCGGAAUUACUGGGCGUAAAGCGUGCGCAGGCGGUUAUAUAAGACAGAUGUGAAAUCCCCGGGCUCAACCUGGGAAUUGCAUUUGUGACUGUAUAGCUAGAGUACGGUAGAGGGGGAUGGAAUUCCGCGUGUAGCAGUGAAAUGCGUAGAUAUGCGGAGGAACACCGAUGGCGAAGGCAAUCCCCUGGACCUGUACUGACGCUCAUGCACGAAAGCGUGGGGAGCAAACAGGAUUANAUACCCUGGNAG
This 401-nucleotide ribosomal RNA is filed under the name Hydrogenophaga sp. Asnod1G10. Its description in RNAcentral is "bacterial SSU rRNA". It matches the Rfam family "Bacterial small subunit ribosomal RNA", at positions 400 to 793 of the family's 1533-position model. The record is from RNAcentral. Lineage: Bacteria; Pseudomonadati; Pseudomonadota; Betaproteobacteria; Burkholderiales; Comamonadaceae.